Molecule: ribosomal RNA, 440 nt
Filed under: uncultured bacterium
Lineage: Bacteria
Description: bacterial SSU rRNA
Rfam family: Bacterial small subunit ribosomal RNA
Source: RNAcentral
GUGAGGAAUAUUGCGCAAUGGGCGAAAGCCUGACGCAGCGACGCCGCGUGGGGGAUGAAGGUCUUCGGAUUGUAAACCCCUUUCGGGAGGGAAGAUGGGACGGGCAACCGUUCGGACGGUACCUCCAGAAGCAGCCACGGCUAACUUCGUGCCAGCAGCCGCGGUAAUACGAAGGUGGCAAGCGUUGUUCGGAUUUACUGGGCGUAAAGGGAGCGUAGGCGGUCUGGUAAGCCCUCCGGGAAAUCUCCCGGCCUAACCGGGAAAGGUCGGAGGGGACUGCUUGACUAGAGGGCGGGAGAGGAGCGCGGAAUUCCCGGUGUAGCGGUGAAAUGCGUAGAGAUCGGGAGGAAGGCCGGUGGCGAAGGCGGCGCUCUGGAACGAUCCUGACGCUGAGGCUCGAAAGCGUGGGGAGCAAACAGGAUUAGAUACCCCAGUAGUCC